RNAcentral lists this ribosomal RNA (857 nucleotides) under Plenodomus biglobosus. RNAcentral describes it as "eukaryotic LSU rRNA". It matches the Rfam family "Eukaryotic large subunit ribosomal RNA", at positions 36 to 911 of the family's 3401-position model. The record is from RNAcentral. Lineage: Eukaryota; Fungi; Ascomycota; Dothideomycetes; Pleosporales; Leptosphaeriaceae.
AAGCAUAUCAAUAAGCGGAGGAAAAGAAACCAACAGGGAUUGCCCUAGUAACGGCGAGUGAAGCGGCAACAGCUCAAAUUUGAAAUCUGGCUCUUUUAGGGUCCGAGUUGUAAUUUGCAGAGGGCGCUUUGGCGUUGGCAGCGGUCCAAGUUCCUUGGAACAGGACGUCACAGAGGGUGAGAAUCCCGUACGUGGUCGCUGGUCUUCGCCGUGUAAAGCCCCUUCGACGAGUCGAGUUGUUUGGGAAUGCAGCUCUAAAUGGGAGGUAAAUUUCUUCUAAAGCUAAAUACUGGCCAGAGACCGAUAGCGCACAAGUAGAGUGAUCGAAAGAUGAAAAGCACUUUGGAAAGAGAGUCAAAUAGCACGUGAAAUUGUUGAAAGGGAAGCGCUUGCAGCCAGACUUGCCUGUAGUUGCUCAUCCGGGCUUUUGCCCGGUGCACUCUUCUAUAGGCAGGCCAGCAUCAGUUUGGGCGGUUGGAUAAAGGUCUCUAUCACGUACCUCUCUUCGGGGAGGCCUUAUAGGGGAGACGACAUGCAACCAGCCUGGACUGAGGUCCGCGCAUUUGCUAGGAUGCUGGCGUAAUGGCUGUAAGCGGCCCGUCUUGAAACACGGACCAAGGAGUCUAACAUCUAUGCGAGUGUUUGGGUGUCAAGCCCGAACGCGUAAUGAAAGUGAACGGAGGUGGGAACCCUUUAGGGCGCACCAUCGACCGAUCCUGAUGUCUUCGGAAGGAUUUGAGUAAGAGCAUGGCUGUUGGGACCCGAAAGAUGGUGAACUAUGCUUGAAUAGGGUGAAGCCAGAGGAAACUCUGGUGGAGGCUCGCAGCGGUUCUGACGUGCAAAUCGAUCGUCAAAUU